RNAcentral lists this ribosomal RNA (517 nucleotides) under uncultured bacterium. RNAcentral describes it as "bacterial SSU rRNA". It matches the Rfam family "Bacterial small subunit ribosomal RNA", at positions 501 to 1017 of the family's 1533-position model. The record is from RNAcentral.
CUACGUGCCAGCAGCCGCGGUAAUACGUAGGUCCCGAGCGUUGUCCGGAUUUAUUGGGCGUAAAGCGAGCGCAGGCGGUUAGAUAAGUCUGAAGUUAAAGGCUGUGGCUUAACCAUAGUACGCUUUGGAAACUGUUUAACUUGAGUGCAAGAGGGGAGAGUGGAAUUCCAUGUGUAGCGGUGAAAUGCGUAGAUAUAUGGAGGAACACCGGUGGCGAAAGCGGCUCUCUGGUUUGUAACUGACGCUGAGGCUCGAAAGCGUGGGGAGCAAACAGGAUUAGAUACCCUGGUAGUCCACGCCGUAAACGAUGAGUGCUAGGUGUUAGACCCUUUCCGGGGUUUAGUGCCGCAGCUAACGCAUUAAGCACUCCGCCUGGGGAGUACGACCGCAAGGUUAAAACUCAAAUGAAUUGACGGGGGCCCGCACAAGCGGUGGAGCAUGUGGUUUAAUUCGAUGCAACGCGAAGAACCUUACCUACUCUUGACAUCCAUGGAAUCCUGUAGAGAUACGGGAGUGC